RNAcentral lists this ribosomal RNA (253 nucleotides) under uncultured bacterium. Its description in RNAcentral is "partial 16S ribosomal RNA". It matches the Rfam family "Bacterial small subunit ribosomal RNA", at positions 524 to 776 of the family's 1533-position model. The record is from RNAcentral.
UACGAAGGGUGCAAACGUUGCUCGGAAUCAUUGGGCGUAAAGCGCACGUAGGCGGCUUCGCAAGUCGGAUGUGAAAUCUCGUGGCUCAACCAUGGACGUGCAUCCGAAACUGUGAGGCUUGAGUAUGGAAGAGGGUCGCGGAAUUCCCGGUGUAGAGGUGAAAUUCGUAGAUAUCGGGAGGAACACCAGUGGCGAAGGCGGCGACCUGGGCCAAUACUGACGCUGAGGUGCGAAAGCGUGGGGAGCAAACAGG